AGGCUUUGGAAAGAGGAGAUUAAGCACAUAAUAACGGCAAUAAAAUGUCUUGAAUUUCCAGAUGAUGUCCAUGACACACCAGAGGUUGCCGCAGCCGAGAGCUUUAUAAAAUGCUGACUGUUCUCAAAAAAGGACGCUUUGGAGAAUAUUUCUUGUCUUCUGGGCAACCCACUUUUCUCCAAAAAAACGACAUCAGGCCAUUUGAAGAUAGCCAUUGCAGGCAUCAUGGAUUAUACCAAGUAACACCUCUGUUGAUCAAACCUGGUAGUGAUGUAAGUUAGAGCUGAGGGUUCCAACAGCAGUUCUGCCAAGAUCUUGCCACAUCCUGAGACAGCUGUGCUCGCCACCAGCCCAAGUCCAAGCCCAAGCCGUUGUCAGGCCCUAAUAAGAGAUGGAGACAGCACAGCCCCCCAGGACCUGUAGUUUAUCUGAAGCAGCUGGGAAAUCCUGCUGGGGGUUGGAUGCCAGACUGGUGAUGCUUCUGGUAACUCUAGCUGGAGCUGGCAUCCUGUUGCUUCUGUACAGACUAUUACAAACACGACACAGGUUGAGGAUGGCGAGUGCAAGACAUGCUCUGGAGUAUUACAGCUUCUACCACACGGCCACUUACACGUUCAAACAGCCAUCAUUAUAUGAGAAGCUUCCGAAUGGCAAAGUUCCACACACCAUUCCACCUGUCCAAACUGUCGCCAUAGCAAGACCUGUUGUCACCACCCCACUGCCACCCCUUCCAGUACCCCUUCCAGUGCCACCCCCCCCGGCUCCUGUCCAUCCUGCAGUACCUUCACUCCAGAUGACGCCGCCUCUCCUGACUCCUCCCCUGCCCGUGAUCGACACCGCCGCACCAAGCCCCCACCAGUCAUGGGGUGCCUGCUCAGACGUCGAUGUGUACUCUCGUAUUGGAGCUUACAGGCCCUCCAGGCUCUCGAGCCUUUCUAGCCAUUCAAAGGUCAUUCUUUUCGAACACUCAUCUCUUUAAACUGAGCGUACUGUUUAUCAUGAAGUCUGAUUUCCUUCUUCCCCUUCAUAUUACUAGUUGCUUGACAGCAUAUUAGUUGCUGUCAAGUAAUUAUUACGGCUGUCAAUCGAUUAAUAUUUUUAAAUCGGAUUAAUCACACUUUGGAAUUUUUAAUCACUGGUGCCAAAUAUACCACACACAGUACCACAUUCUGCUUUGAGAUGGUAUUUGAAACUUGUUGUGCUUCAUAUUACGGUCUAUUAAUUGUAGUAUGUUAGGCAUGGGCGAGUACUGAUACCAGGUAUCGUAUUGGGCCGAUAGUGGCCUUAUUUCAAGGUGAUGGAUACUUGUGAGGGCUGCUGAUACCACCCACUGAUACUUAAGGCUAAUAAAAGGCUAAUAAAAUCUGACAUUGAGUUACUCGUCCUCACCAGUAGUUGGCACCACAGUGCAGGGAUUUGACACAUUGGCAAAUAUUCAAGUGCGUCAUAAAGAAAGAAAGGUCUUUUGUUUUCAACUGUCAUUGUGUUAAUUAAAA
This is an RNA transcript of Phycodurus eques (leafy seadragon), 1496 nucleotides long. RefSeq lists it as uncharacterized. The transcript has 4 exons. Lineage: Eukaryota; Metazoa; Chordata; Actinopteri; Syngnathiformes; Syngnathidae. The record is from RefSeq and is a predicted model, not a curated record.